This 275-nucleotide long non-coding RNA is filed under the name Ananas comosus (pineapple). RNAcentral's name for it is "long non-coding RNA (ACOM_LNC028165)". The record is from RNAcentral. Lineage: Eukaryota; Viridiplantae; Streptophyta; Magnoliopsida; Poales; Bromeliaceae.
AAAAUUAGAGAAUAAUAAAGAAAACCAGAGAAGAAGGAAGAAGAAGAUGAAUUUGCACUGUUAAGAUUAAAUUGCAUUGUUUUAAAAGAACGUUGCACUAUUAUGAACGUAAGUUCAUUUUUUAAAUGUAAACUGCACCCUUUAAGAUGAAAGCUGCACUCUUUGAACGAAAGUUGCACUCUUUGAGAGAUAUUUACACUGUUUCUCCUUUUAUUGCACUCUUUAAGAGGAGAUAUUUACACUAUUUCUUCUCUUGUCGCACUAUUUCUUCUCUU